CGAGCGAGAAAGUCGACUUCGGUCGACGAGUAAAGCGGCGAACGGGUGAGUAACACGUGGGUAACCUGCCCUGGAGUGGGGGAUAACCUGGGGAAACUCGGGCUAAUACCGCAUACGUUCUCGGCACUAUGGUGCCGAGAGGAAAGCUGGCCAAUGCUUGCAAGCCAGCGCUCUUUGAGGGACCCGCGCCCGAUUAGCUUGUUGGUGGGGUAACGGCCCACCAAGGCUGCGAUCGGUAGCCGGCCUGAGAGGGUGAUCGGCCACACUGGGACUGAGACACGGCCCAGACUCCUACGGGAGGCAGCAGUGGGGAAUAUUGGACAAUGGGCGCAAGCCUGAUCCAGCAACGCCGCGUGGAGGACGAAGGCCUUCGGGUCGUAAACUCCUGUCAGUUGGGACGAAAAGCUGUCGGUGAAUAUCCGGCAGUCAUGACGGUACCAGCAGAGGAAGCCCCGGCUAACUCCGUG
This 467-nucleotide ribosomal RNA is filed under the name uncultured bacterium. RNAcentral describes it as "bacterial SSU rRNA". It matches the Rfam family "Bacterial small subunit ribosomal RNA", at positions 63 to 507 of the family's 1533-position model. The record is from RNAcentral.